GGGAGCGGAAAUGGUGCGGGGAGUCAGCCCCUGGGGCCGCCCGGGGAGCUGGGAUGCAGCGCGGGCCACGUGCGCCCGGCAGUACUUAGGUGGUGGCGGCCGGCAGGCGGUGGGGGAGACCUUCCGUGAACUGGCCUUUGCUCCGCCGAGACGACCACCCCUUAGCCGCAGGGGCGCCCGGUGUUUUUCUGCUUUGAUUUCUGAGGCUACUGACGCCCCGAGCGGAGCCGGCAUCUCCAGACCAGGCCGUGGAGCUGCAGCGAGAAGAAUGUGCCUGCUUUGGCUGUGGAUCGCGAGCGCCCGGGCCGCAAAGAUUCAGGGAGAGGUGGGGACGACACGUCAAAGACAUUAUGAGGAAGAAGAUGAAACUCAAAGGCUCUGGCAGCCCCCUCCGUGCUGUUUAUGAAUUGGCGUCGAAGUCUGGGGCUGCCGUGGUAAGGCUGCCAGCGCUGACGAGGACGCAGCAUUUGUGGGAAUUCUGUGACUCCAGAAGGCGAAAG
This 500-nucleotide long non-coding RNA is filed under the name Sus scrofa (pig). Its description in RNAcentral is "lncRNA (ENSSSCG00070014401.1)". Lineage: Eukaryota; Metazoa; Chordata; Mammalia; Artiodactyla; Suidae. The record is from RNAcentral.